Molecule: regulatory RNA element, 316 nt
Organism: Neotoma lepida (desert woodrat)
Lineage: Eukaryota; Metazoa; Chordata; Mammalia; Rodentia; Cricetidae
Rfam family: Mason-Pfizer monkey virus packaging signal
About the family: The packaging signal is located in the 5' UTR and is required for specific RNA encapsidation.
Source: Rfam
UGGAAUCUAACGUUGAGGCUCAAGAAGGCGGAGGAUUGGUGAAUGUCGCACACCAAGGCAGGCCUGCAUAUCAGUUGGACCACUGUGGAGAACACUCUGCAAGCAAAGGUCCAGUCAAGUGAUCACCACGGGGACACCCAACCGUGAGGCAGAUCCAGACAGUUGAUUUGUGCUGACGCAAGGUCAUGGGACAAGCAUUUAGUAAGCAAGAUUUAUUUAUUUCAGGACUUAAACAGUCUCUCAAGACACAAGGAACAAGUGUAAAAAAGAAAGAUAUUUUAAAAGUUUCUUGCUUAUAUUGGGGAUCUUUGUCCCU